Molecule: transfer RNA, 73 nt
Filed under: Chrysemys picta bellii (western painted turtle)
Lineage: Eukaryota; Metazoa; Chordata; Testudines; Emydidae
Description: tRNA-Val (TAC) (tRNA-Val-TAC-3-1)
Rfam family: tRNA
About the family: Transfer RNA (tRNA) molecules are approximately 80 nucleotides in length. Their secondary structure includes four short double-helical elements and three loops (D, anti-codon, and T loops).
Source: Rfam by way of RNAcentral
GGUUCCAUUUUGUAGUGGUUAUCACGUCUGCUUUACAAGCAGACGGUCCUGGGUUCAUGCCCCAGUGGAACCU